CCUCUGGGCGUGGCCGAAGCGUGCAGCAUUCUUAAGAGACCCGGACAUUCUUAGGAGGUUGCUGACUAUGAGACGGCAGCCCGGCGACAGCAGGAGCUUCCCAGCCGACGAGGCGGCCUUCCUUCGCACCUGGCACGGACCGGCGUCCCCAGAUGUCCGAGAGAUAAGUAGAGGGCCACGACCCACAGAGGGGAUGAAAGCGGGGUGCUGGGUUGGGAGUCACCGUGAGGGGUUUAUGAGUCCACUUUGGCGAUGGGCUUGUCCAAGUAGUAAAGGGAAAAUGUCACUUUUGAUCACAGCGCUGAGGUGUGCGCAGGGCAGAGCAGUCCCAGUGUGUAUCGUGACACUUGUCUAUCGUGCAUUCUGUGUGCUUGGGUGUCUCAUUUCUUUUUGCUUAGCCCUUUGAGGGGCCUGUCAGAAGCCCUGGCAUCAUUCUUAGCAUCUGUGAUCUCUGUGUUCCUUGGCCUGGCACCGAUGCCAUAGAACUUUUGACUCGGGAGCUCAGGCAGGCAUCAGAAUUGCAUAUUUCCUUAGAAGCAUCCAGUCAGAUGUCUUCUGCAGGUCUUCUUGUGAGCUGUAUGGACAGCUGUACUCUGCAAGGAUCCGUUAUCGUGCAUUAGGACUUGUAAGAACGUGAGGAUAGGUGUAGGAUUCAGAGGCAUCCAUCUUUGAAGUUCUUGGAAUAAAUCAUUCAGUUAGAAUCUUCUUCCUCCAGGGCUCUCUGAGCCUCAUCAGCUCACCGUUGGUCUCAGCUCGGUCACCUGAUUUUGCAUUUGCUCGGUCCUUGCAGUUAUUCUUCUUGCUAAGAGAUUUCUGUCCCUGCUGUGUCCCUGUUGUUUGUCAUGUCCUGUCCCCCGUCACGGGUGACUGCACAUAUUUGUGCUGGAGCUGCUCUGCCCUGUUGCGUAGCCUGAUGCGAUAGGAACGGUCCUGGGGGCUUGAAAUUUGUAAUGUGGGGCAUAGUUGGGCUCUAGAUGGUAUUCCUAGAUUGACACAAGAUGUUUAGAGCUGUGAAUUUAUCCUAAAUGCCUUUGACUCUUGUCCUAACUUUCUUUCAGAUGCAGAAGGAUACAAUGCUCGGCAGAGCGCUUCAUCCCUGGUGAGGAGGUUCCCCAACCAGGUCAGUCACUGUCUGUGUUUGCAGGGGAAGCAAAAAUGGUGACUGUUACAGCUCUGUCCUUUUCCUUUUUAUUUAUUUUUCUUUUGUUAGGCAGUAAAGCUGGAUAUCAGCAGUCAAGUUGAAGCGGGCAGGGUGAGCGGUGAGCCGUGGACAGAAGCAGUUGUUAUUGCUGAGGUCUCAAUUUCUGGUGCAACUCUAAGCAUCCAUUCUCAUUUGCGUGCUUUAGGCAGUCCACUCGGAGUAUGCCAAGCCCCCGUCACUCACUGGCCGAUGGACCUGGUUUGCUGCUCUUGUGAGCCCUCGGGAAGUCUGACAGGACUAGGUGAUGAAGCCUUUGCCUUUUCUAUUUGAAGGUGUCACCCGGGUAGCCUUUGGCCACGGCCGAGGAGUUGCGGUGUGUCGGGGAGGUAGGGAGGAAGGGCGAGGGUCCGCUCAGGUUUCAACAAUGCCACAUCACUUCAUCUCCUCUUAACCCAGGCAGACCCUGUGCCGACAGCAUCGCCCUCUGGGCGUGGCCGAAGCGUGCAGCAUUCUUAAGAGACCCGGACAUUCUUAGGAGGUUGCUGACUAUGAGACGGCAGCCCGGCGACAGCAGGAGCUUCCCAGCCGACGAGGCGGCCUUCCUUCGCACCUGGCACGGACCGGCGUCCCCAGAUGUCCGAGAGAUAAGUAGAGGGCCACGACCCACAGAGGGGAUGAAAGCGGGGUGCUGGGUUGGGAGUCACCGUGAGGGGUUUAUGAGUCCACUUUGGAGACGGGCUUGUCCAAGAAGUGGCCCCUUAGGCCAAAUAAAGGGAAAGUGUCACUUUUGAUCACAGCGCUGAGGUGUGCGCAGGGCAGAGCAGUCCCAGUGUGUAUCGUGACACUUGUCUAUCGUGCAUUCUGUGUGCUUGGGUGUCUCAUUUCUUUUUGCUUAGCCCUUUGAGGGGCCUGUCAGAAGCCCUGGCAUCAUUCUUAGCAUCUGUGAUCUCUGUGUUCCUUGGCCUGGCACCGAUGCCAUAGAACUUUUGACUCGGGAGCUCAGGCAGGCAUCAGAAUGGUAUUCUUCUUUAGAAGCAUCCGAUCAGAUGUCUUCUGCAGGCCUUGUUCUGAGCUGUAUGGACAGCUGUGACCUGCAUGGAUGCAUUAUGGCAGAUUAGGACUUAUAAGAAUGUGAGGACAGGUAGAGGAUUCAGACCGUAGGAUUCCCGUGCAUCCAUCUUUGCAUCUUUUAUUCUUGGAAUAAAUCAUUCAGUUAGCAUCUUCUUCCUCCAGGCUUCUCUGAGCCUCAUCAGCUCACUGUCGGUCUCAGCUCGGUCAUCUGAUUUUUGCAUUCUCUCAGUCCUUGCAGUCGUUUGUCUUGCCAAGAUAUUUCUGUCUCUGUUGCCAUUAUCUGUCAUGUCCUGUCCCCUGUCACGGGUGUCUGCACAUAUUUGUUCUGGAGCUGCUCUGCCCUGUUGCGUAGCCUGGUGCAUUUGGACCAUUCCCGGGGGCUUGAAAUUUGUAAUGUGGGGUGUAGUUGGGCUCUAGAUGGUAUUCCUAGAUUGACACAAGAUAUUUGGAGCUAUGAAGUCAUCUUGCAGCCCUUUGACUCUUGUUCUAACUUUCUUUCAGAUACAGAAGGAUGAAAUCUGUGGCAGAGCACCCCAUGCCGGGUGAGGGGGUUCCCCCGAGCCGGUCAGCCAGCGUCUGUCUGUGCAGAGGGAGUGUAAAUGGUGACUCUGUCUCAGCACUGUUAUUUUUCUUUAUUUUUACGAAGUCGAGCCAGAUAGCAGCAGUCAAGUUGAAGAGGGCAAGGCAAUCUAUUCAGAGUAUGCCAAGCCCCUGUCACACAGUGGCCGAUGGACCAGGUUUGCUGCUCUUGUGAGCCCUCGGGAAGUCUGACAGGACUCUGUGAUGAAGCCUUUGCCUUUUGACUUCCAAGGUCUCUUCCGGAUAGCCGUCAGGAACUGCUGAGAAGUUGUGGUGAGUCGGGGAGGUAGGGAGGAGGAGCAAGGAUCCACUCAGGUUUCAGCUAUGCCACAUCACCUCGUCUCCUCUUAAACCAGGCAGACCCUGCGAUGACGGUAUCGGCCUCUGAGCGCGGCAGAAGCGUGCAACCCAAGGAGACGGGCAUUCUUAGGAGAAUACUGACUAUGAGACAGCAGCCCGGCGACAGCAGGAGCUUCCCAGCCAACGAGGCGGCCUUCCUUCGCACCUGGCACGGACCGGCGUCACCAGAUGUCCGAGAGAUAAGUAGAGGGCCACGACCCACAGAGGGGAUGAAAGCGGGGUGCUGGGUUGGGAGUCACCGUGAGGGGUUUGAGUCCACUUUGGAGAUGGGCUUGUCCAAGAAGUGGCCCCUUAGGCCAAAUAAAGGGAAAGUGUCACUUUUGAUCACAGCGCUGAGGUGUGCGCAGGGCAGAGCAGUCCCAGUGUGUAUCGUGACACUUGUCUAUCAUGUCUUCUGUGUUGUUCGGAUAUCUCUUGUCUUCUAGCUUAGCCCUUUGGAGCCUGUCAGAAACCCUGGCAUCAUUCUUAGCAUCUGUGAUCUGUGUUCCUUGCCCAGGCACCGAUGCCAUAGAACUUUUGACUCGGGAGCUCAGGCAGGCAUCAGAAUUGCAUUCUUCUUUAGAAGCAUCCAGUCCGAUGUCUUUUAAGCUGUAGAUGUCUUCUGCAGGUCUUCUUGUGAGCUGUAUGGACAGCUGCACUCUGCAAGGAUCCAUUAUGGCCAAUUAGGAAAUGUAGGAAUGUGAAGAGGUAGAGGAUUCUGAACGUAGGAUUCACAGGCAUCCAUCUUUGUAGUUCUUGGAAUAAAUCAUUCAGUUAUCAUCUUCUUCCUCCAGGGCUCUCUGAGCCUCAUCAGCUCGCCGUCGGUCUCAUCUUGGGCAUCUGAUUUUGCAUUCUCUAAGUUCUUGCAGUCAUUCUUCUUGCCAAGAUAUUUCUGUCCCUGUUGCGUCCCCGUUGUUUGUCAUGUCCUGUCCCGUGUCACGGGUGACUGCACAUAUUUGUGCUGGAGCUGCUCUGUCCUGUUGCAUAGCCUGGCGCAAUAGAACAAGUCCAGGAGGCUUGAAAUUUGUAAUGUUGGGUGUAGCUGGACUCUAGAUGGUAUUCCUAGAUUGACACAAGAUGUUUAGAGCUGUGAUAUUAUCCUGCAUCCCUUUGACUCUUGUGUUUCUUUCAGAUGUAGAAGUAUAGAAUCCCUGGUAGAGCGCCCCGUCCCAGGCAGUAAAGCUGGAUAUAAGCAGUCAAAUGGAAGAGGGCAAGGUCGUCCACUUGCGACCUCUCCCUGGCCAAGGAUGCCCGAUGCCAGAUGCUGUCGCUGCCCUGGGUGUGCCAAGGAACAGAGGCAAGCGGGUAUCUUCUGGCCAGCCUCGAGUCGAAUCAAGAUUUGAGGUACCGUGAGGAGGUUUGUAGGCAAAGUUUGGAAAUGGCUGCACCAAAGCACACGUCUCGAUGUCCACAUCCAGCUGACGAUGGAUUUUGUUCGCUCAUCUUCCAAAAGCUAAGUGUUGGGGCAAGUAGUUGGGAGAAGGGGAAAAACCUUUGCUAUCACAGGAGGCAGUUUAAUGUUAGCUUAGCGGAGAGGUCUGUAGUGGGAUGGGGCCCUUUGGAAGUAAAGGGAUAGGCCUUGUCCUCAGCCUCAGCAGAGCCUUUGGCGGGCAGGGCAGUUCCGAUCCAUCUCUGCAUUCUCUUUGAACGUUUCUCUGUGAACUUUGCGUCGUCAGCCUUCUUCGACUCUCAGCGUCGUCGUGGAUCUUUCCCCCGAGGAGCUCGCCUUCAGGCCCGGAGCUAUAGCCACGGUCACCCGGCAGUCUUCGCUUCCUUCUCUAGGCAUACUGAGCCUUUUGAGCAUCCUCCUAACUGCUUUGACACUAACUUCUUUUAAGGAGUUACGUUUCAUCAUCACGUGCUGUCCUAGGGCUUUCUUUCCUUUGGCAUCAUCAGCCUGUGGCUCAUCUUGCGCUAGGAAUCUUGGGUCCAUAAGGUGAAACUGCCAGGCGGUUUCCACUCGUGUCUGUGUUAUGUCAUCCGUGUCUGUGUUAUGUCGUCCGUGUCCAUUGUCUUCUGUGCCGUAGGCCUUUGUUACAUCUCUAUGCUUUGUCGGCAUCAUUCUGCAUCAUAUCGGCCGCAUUUUACUCACGUUCCUCCCCGGAUAUCGCUUGUUCUAGCAUCUUUACAUUUUUACUCUCUGAGCCAGGAAGAAGUACACAAGAUAGUUUCAUUCAUCUUCCUUCUCAACUUUGGCAGUGCCUUUUUUUCCCAUGCCGUUCUCUUGGACUUCCAUAGGGAGUGUAUUACACCCUCCUCACGUGACUGUACUAGUUCUCUAGGUUCCAUCUUCUCAAAGGGUAGAGGGCUCAAGAAUUAAUCCUCCAGACA
Motacilla alba alba is the source of this 5461-nucleotide long non-coding RNA. RefSeq lists it as uncharacterized. Lineage: Eukaryota; Metazoa; Chordata; Aves; Passeriformes; Motacillidae. The record is from RefSeq and is a predicted model, not a curated record. The transcript has 10 exons.